This is a long non-coding RNA of Cloeon dipterum, 1058 nucleotides long. RefSeq lists it as uncharacterized. The transcript has 7 exons. The record is from RefSeq and is a predicted model, not a curated record. NCBI's taxonomy places the organism in Eukaryota, Metazoa, Arthropoda, Insecta, Ephemeroptera, Baetidae.
UCGCGCUUCUCGUUUCUCGCUCUGAUGGAAAGAGACAACGAUACAACGUCAAAUUCCCUAUCCUAGCGAGAACGAACGAGAAGCGUAAGCAGAGUUGGGCGAAAAGUAUGCUUUCGCAUUUCUUCGCAAAGUUGACUGAAAACGCUUUUGCUCCAAUGAAGCGGCUUGACUGGAUUUAUUAUAUGUAACCAGAGGUAUCAACAUCUCUAAACCUGCUCACACACCCUCGUCAUAGAUUUAUCUGGAUUUGUCAGCGCUUAUGAUUGCGGCGAGUACCUGGUCAAAACUGAUCUGCAGGUUGAGGUUCCCUCAAGUUGCCGUGGACGUCGGGUCUUGGCCUGAAGAGUUCCAUUGAUGUUGGAGCUGGCGUGGUUGACCCUGACUAUCGUGAAAAUCUUGGAGUUUUUUUUUUCAACCUUAGUGACAAAGAAUAAAAUUGCUCAGUUGAUCUACGAGAAAAUUAUCCUCCCCAUGAUGGAAGUCAAGCACGUAUAGAGUCUUGAGGAAGCAACUUGAGGAGCAGCUGGGUUUGAAUGUAUACAGGGGUGCACUUAACCUAUUACCCUCAACUGCUGAUAGGUGAUUUCUCACCGUCCAUGGUUGCAUCUGAAACGCGUGCCUGUCAGCGACUUUGCAAGUGGAGAGCAUGGAGGACGUCCAGCCCGAGGACGAAGAGUUUCGUCUCGAGCCCAUUACCAACGAAAGCUUCAUCUUGACUCCAGGCCAGAACUAUGAGCAUUUUAGGAUCAUGUUGCUCUAGCAGUAGACGGAGCUGACCAUGUAGGACAAGAAUUGCACCCUCAGCAUCCUCUUCGUCUUCCUGGAGGACCAGGGCAGCUUCGGCUGCGAGCUGAAACCCUGGAUGGGUCUUGUGCGUCUGACCAAAAACCAAUCUACGUUUGCGGCCAAGACAGUGUUCUCAAUUUUGAAAAGCCAGCUUAAGCCGCAGGAUGCUUAAAACCAGAUGAAAUCAAUCAAGUCUUGCCGGGCUUAAAUUGGCAUUUUUUAAAUUAGUAGAAUUUUUAAUUUUGAGGAGAACAUUUUCAGUAGGUGCCUAA